GGGACUCUGGCGCAAUUGGCAGCGCAGCGGACUUUUAAUCCGUCGGUUCCGGGUUCGAGUCCCGGGGGUCCCACCA
RNAcentral lists this transfer RNA (76 nucleotides) under Dehalococcoidia bacterium. RNAcentral describes it as "tRNA-Lys". It matches the Rfam family "tRNA". Rfam says of the family: Transfer RNA (tRNA) molecules are approximately 80 nucleotides in length. Their secondary structure includes four short double-helical elements and three loops (D, anti-codon, and T loops). Lineage: Bacteria; Bacillati; Chloroflexota; Dehalococcoidia. The record is from RNAcentral.